Molecule: non-coding RNA, 73 nt
Organism: Nephila pilipes (giant wood spider)
Lineage: Eukaryota; Metazoa; Arthropoda; Arachnida; Araneae; Nephilidae
Source: the annotation of a GenBank genome assembly
GCGUCGGUGGUAUAACUGUUAGCGUAGCUGCCUUCCAAGCAGGUUGAUCCGGAUUCCACUCCCGGCCGAUACA